CGACAGGCUUAACACAUGCAAGUCGAGGGGCAGCACAGGUAGCAAUACCGGGUGGCGACCGGCGCACGGGUGAGUAACGCGUAUGCAACUUACCUAUCAGAGGGGGAUAACCCGGCGAAAGUCGGACUAAUACCGCAUGAAGCAGGGGCCCCGCAUGGGGAUAUUUGCUAAAGAUUCAUCGCUGAUAGAUAGGCAUGCGUUCCAUUAGGCAGUUGGCGGGGUAACGGCCCACCAAACCGACGAUGGAUAGGGGUUCUGAGAGGAAGGUCCCCCACAUUGGUACUGAGACACGGACCAAACUCCUACGGGAGGCAGCAGUGAGGAAUAUUGGUCAAUGGCCGAGAGGCUGAACCAGCCAAGUCGCGUGAGGGAUGAAGGUUCUAUGGAUCGUAAACCUCUUUUAUAAGGGAAUAAAGUGCGGGACGUGUCCCGUUUUGUAUGUACCUUAUGAAUAAGGAUCGGCUAACUCCGUGCCAGCAGCCGCGGUAAUACGGAGGAUCCGAGCGUUAUCCGGAUUUAUUGGGUUUAAAGGGUGCGUAGGCGGCCUUUUAAGUCAGCGGUGAAAGUCUGUGGCUCAACCAUAGAAUUGCCGUUGAAACUGGGGGGCUUGAGUAUGUUUGAGGCAGGCGGAAUGCGUGGUGUAGCGGUGAAAUGCAUAGAUAUCACGCAGAACCCCGAUUGCGAAGGCAGCCUGCCAAGCCAUUACUGACGCUGAUGCACGAAAGCGUGGGGAUCAAACAGGAUUAGAUACCCUGGUAGUCCACGCAGUAAACGAUGAUCACUAGCUGUUUGCGAUACACUGUAAGCGGCACAGCGAAAGCGUUAAGUGAUCCACCUGGGGAGUACGCCGGCAACGGUGAAACUCAAAGGAAUUGACGGGGGCCCGCACAAGCGGAGGAACAUGUGGUUUAAUUCGAUGAUACGCGAGGAACCUUACCCGGGUUUGAACGCAUUCGGACCGAGGUGGAAACACCUUUUCUAGCAAUAGCCGUUUGCGAGGUGCUGCAUGGUUGUCGUCAGCUCGUGCCGUGAGGUGUCGGCUUAAGUGCCAUAACGAGCGCAACCCUUGCCACUAGUUACUAACAGGUAAAGCUGAGGACUCUGGUGGGACUGCCAGCGUAAGCUGCGAGGAAGGCGGGGAUGACGUCAAAUCAGCACGGCCCUUACAUCCGGGGCGACACACGUGUUACAAUGGCGUGGACAAAGGGAAGCCACCUGGCGACAGGGAGCGAAUCCCCAAACCACGUCUCAGUUCGGAUCGGAGUCUGCAACCCGACUCCGUGAAGCUGGAUUCGCUAGUAAUCGCGCAUCAGCCAUGGCGCGGUGAAUACGUUCCCGGGCCUUGUACACACCGCCCGUCAAGCCAUGGGAGCCGGGGGUACCUGAAGUCCGUAACCGCGAGGAUCGGCCUAGGGUAAAACUGGUGACUG
RNAcentral lists this ribosomal RNA (1430 nucleotides) under uncultured organism. Its description in RNAcentral is "16S ribosomal RNA". It matches the Rfam family "Bacterial small subunit ribosomal RNA". The record is from RNAcentral.